CGCGGGCGGGGACUCGCAAACUCCAGUGUCCUUGGCCGCGGCCGAUCGCGCCCUGCCCCGCCCGGCCCACUGCGGCCGCGAGUUCUUUACAACUCUGCAGUCCGCCGCCGCGGGCGCGACUCUCGGACUGCCCCGGGGCUGGCCUCAGGCCCUGGCGACCCGAGCAGGGGUGGGAGUGGGGGCGCAGAAGGGAGGCCCAGGGCCCGGCGCCCCACACUUUGCCAGUGACUGCUCGGACUGUGCGCCGCGUGCUCCGACCGCCUCCGGGCCAGGCCAGGUUAGGGCCGGCGGGGUCGAAGUACGAGGAGCCUAGAGGUGACUCGACCCCCACCCAGGUCGCUCAAUUUUCCGGGUAAAGAAGCAGAAGUGUGAGAAAGGGGCCGCCUCGAGGCGGCGGAGGGGGUCGCACGCGGGGCGGAGCAGGGUGGGGAUGGGACUGGGGGCUCUGUCUAGGGCACCGCUGCGUGGCCGCCCACAGCUGCUCCUGGGCCGCGGCGCCCGACUGGAGAAGGAGCGGAGGGAGGCGCUGCGGCCGUGGCGCGGGCGCACGAGCGCAGGGCUCUGGCGUUGGCCCGCAGCGCAGCCGCCCCUGGCGCUCCCUACCGUGGGCCCGGGGGUUUCGGAGCUGCCCUCGCACCAGCCGGCUGAGGCCGGGGGUCAGCGCCGUUGUGGCAAGUGCCCGCAGCCGGAUGUCAGGGCUGAGAGGAAGCAAAUGCGGCGCCGAGUCCAUCCUGACCCGCGGACACCCUUGAUUCCGGGGGGGAAAAGAUUCCCCACCGGCUUCUCACGCCAGCCCCAGCCCUCUGGACAGGAGCCGCGGAGCGCCGGCUGAGGUGCAGUGUGGCCGCCCGCAGAAGAGGGGGGCGAGGCAAAAGGAAGUCGGGGGAAACCCCUGGGCGCCCCAACCAGGUUUCCCGGCCGCUCUUCCCAUCACCUCCCCCACCCCGGGACCCAUCUCUCGGAGCCCCUUGUCCCCAUUCGAGGUCUGGGAUGUGACUAGGAACUUUGUGGAGCCCUCGCGCGGGCUGGCGGUAAAGACCGACCCGAUUGAGGCUGAGUCAUCCUCUCCCGACCGAGCGCAACUCGGGUGACCCUGGCAAGCCGCGCGCUCCUGACGUUGCCGAGUCUUCCAGCGCUCCAGCUGCCUAGGUUCUCCUUAUUUGCCUGCUUUUCUGCAGCAGGGCCCUUUCGUUCCACCCUGUCACCUGCCCUUGGCCUCUGCACCCUCAGGUUGCAGGGAAGUAAGGGUGGGCUCCAGCCUCCUCCGAGUGGUGUUGGGCUACGAUCCAGGCCGGCUUGCCUGCCCAGCAGUCCCUGAAAAAAGUUAACCCAGCGGAUAUUAGGAUUGAUAUCAGAGUUGGCUGCAAGGGGCAAAGGACCACCGAGGGCCAUAGGAGCUUUUUCCAAGUGUCAGCAGACCCUGGGCUCUGGUGGGCUUUGGCAAGUCGCGCUCGCACCUAGGGGAGCAGCGCAGGGAACAGGCUGCACGGGGGGAAACGCCAGGUGCGCUCCGCCCACGGCAAUGUCUACAAUCUCUUCGGAUGACUAACCGGUUAUAAUGAAUUCUCCGCUUCUGUGCACACCUCCCGCCUCUGAAAACGUGCCAGUCCUUCCCAAGCCGAGCCAAGCACGGCCUGACCCCAGGGCAAGCGGUCCGGAAGGCUUUAACACUCAAAUUGGGGGCUGCAAGAAAAUGAACUUUCCUGUCAGAAUGCAAGAACCUUCUUUCUAAAUGAAUAUGUGAGUGAAUGAACGGGUACUCGUGCUAGCCCUUAUUUGUAAGACUUCAUCCGUUUCUCUGUGGUGUCUACAUAAACAGCCCUUCAUGCACUCACCCGUUGUUCAUCCGCUCAAUAAUGAUCUUUUACAUGACAGGCACGGUUGGACAUGCUGGGAAACUAGAGGUGAACAAAUCAGGCGAUGUGGUGGUUGCAAACUAGGAGGGCAACGGGCUGUACCCCAAAAGGCAUAAUGAUGACUGCAUAAUAAUACACUUUGACCAGCCACCAGCAAUAGUGUACAUGAAGAAAAAGUGCCAGUGACACUCUUACUAUUGUUAUACGUAUUAACUGAUGAAAAAAAAUGUAGGCACAGAGAAAUGAUACAGCUUAGUCAUGCUUAAACAACCACCUGACUGCUGGAGUACACUGAAGGCCAGUGGACACCAAGGUCAUGACAUUUGAUAAUGAAGUCAUUAUGCUCUGCCAGCCUGAACAGGGGAACUCUGAAGUUGUUUCAGAGCAACUAAAGUGUAAGAGAAAGGAGCCUGGGCACAGGAGUUGCAGCUCCAGGAGUCUAGUAUUUUGAGCAUUUAUAACGGUUACACACAGUCCAUCUUAGGCAGAACAUGAUUUGCAUAACGUUUAAUAUGGAUCGCACAAAAUGUCUCCUACUAUAUCAAAUUUUUUAAAAUUUAUCUGAUAUCUAAAAUUUUCAGAACUCGAAGUGUUGCGGAGAUUUGGGGUCCUACCACUUGUAUAUAAUCUGUCAUUUCUUUCAGAAUCACAAAAAUCAGUGUAGAAAGGGAUCUCUAAGCUACCUGGUCCUAGACUCUUAUUUAACAGAGGACAGUGAAGCUGGAAUUUAGUCGCUAGUCCAAAAACACACAGCUGCUUAAAGAAGGUGACCACCUGAUUUCAGGUCAGGGGGUUCAUAUAGCCACAGCCAAGAGCACCCUCCAGUAUACCAAAUGCAGCAUCAUGCAUCAGACCCUAUUUGCCAUCUUCACCCAGAAGCAUAUAUUCCCACACCCAGCUCUCAGUAGAACCUGAAUCCAGCCAAAUGAAACUUUGGCUGACCAGUACACCCCAUUCCCAAUCCAGCCAAUGAUGAUACACUGGCUGGUGGGGUUUGAACAGAAAUGAAAGAUGAAACAGGUGAAUGUUUUAAAAAUGUUCACCUGGUCCCAAGGUAUGAAACGGAUUCCCCAGGAAGAGCCCCUUCCACCCCCAGCAAUUCUCAGGGAAGAAGAGCACUGCCCCUGCCCCAGGGGCAUAUUGAGCAGUUGGGGCUUCCGUUUGCCAUAACAACUAGGGAUUGUACUGGCAUUUAGUGGUUAGGGG
This 3062-nucleotide long non-coding RNA is filed under the name Marmota monax (woodchuck). The record is from RNAcentral. Lineage: Eukaryota; Metazoa; Chordata; Mammalia; Rodentia; Sciuridae.